CAGGAAAAGCCUCUAAGCAUCAGGUAACAUCAAAUCGUACCCCAAACCGACACAGGUGGUCAGGUAGAGAAUACCAAGGCGCUUGAGAGAACUCGGGUGAAGGAACUAGGCAAAAUGGUGCCGUAACUUCGGGAGAAGGCACGCUGAUAUGUAGGUGAAGUCCCUCGCGGAUGGAGCUGAAAUCAGUCGAAGAUACCAGCUGGCUGCAACUGUUUAUUAAAAACACAGCACUGUGCAAACACGAAAGUGGACGUAUACGGUGUGACGCCUGCCCGGUGCCGGAAGGUUAAUUGAUGGGGUCAGCGCAAGCGAAGCUCUUGAUCGAAGCCCCGGUAAACGGCGGCCGUAACUAUAACGGUCCUAAGGUAGCGAAAUUCCUUGUCGGGUAAGUUCCGACCUGCACGAAUGGCGUAAUGAUGGCCAGGCUGUCUCCACCCGAGACUCAGUGAAAUUGAACUCGCUGUGAAGAUGCAGUGUACCCGCGGCAAGACGGAAAGACCCCGUGAACCUUUACUAUAGCUUGACACUGAACAUUGAGCCUUGAUGUGUAGGAUAGGUGGGAGGCUUUGAAGUGUGGACGCCAGUCUGCAUGGAGCCGACCUUGAAAUACCACCCUUUAAUGUUUGAUGUUCUAACGUGGACCCGUGAUCCGGGUUGCGGACAGUGUCUGGUGGGUAGUUUGACUGGGGCGGUCUCCUCCUAAAGAGUAACGGAGGAGCACGAAGGUUGGCUAAUCCUGGUCGGACAUCAGGAGGUUAGUGCAAUGGCAUAAGCCAGCUUGACUGCGAGCGUGACGGCGCGAGCAGGUGCGAAAGCAGGUCAUAGUGAUCCGGUGGUUCUGAAUGGAAGGGCCAUCGCUCAACGGAUAAAAGGUACUCCGGGGAUAACAGGCUGAUACCGCCCAAGAGUUCAUAUCGACGGCGGUGUUUGGCACCUCGAUGUCGGCUCAUCACAUCCUGGGGCUGAAGUAGGUCCCAAGGGUAUGGCUGUUCGCCAUUUAAAGUGGUACGCGAGCUGGGUUUAGAACGUCGUGAGACAGUUCGGUCCCUAUCUGCCGUGGGCGCUGGAGAACUGAGGGGGGCUGCUCCUAGUACGAGAGGACCGGAGUGGACGCAUCACUGGUGUUCGGGUUGUCAUGCCAAUGGCACUGCCCGGUAGCUAAAUGCGGAAGAGAUAAGUGCUGAAAGCAUCUAAGCACGAAACUUGCCCCGAGAUGAGUUCUCCCUGACCCUUUAAGGGUCCUGAAGGAACGUUGAAGACGACGACGUUGAUAGGCCGGGUGUGUAAGCGCAGCGAUGCGUUGAGCUAACCGGUACUAAUGAACCGUGAGGCUUAACCUU
RNAcentral lists this ribosomal RNA (1340 nucleotides) under Escherichia coli. Its description in RNAcentral is "partial 23S ribosomal RNA". It matches the Rfam family "Bacterial large subunit ribosomal RNA", at positions 1609 to 2925 of the family's 2925-position model. Lineage: Bacteria; Pseudomonadati; Pseudomonadota; Gammaproteobacteria; Enterobacterales; Enterobacteriaceae. The record is from RNAcentral. RNAcentral also lists the same sequence under 2 other names.